GUGACUGUGUGUACCUGUCGGUGCCUGUGUGUUGCUGUGUGUGCUUGUACCUGUGUGUGUGUGUGUAUCUUGGUCUGUAAGUAACUGUGAGUGUGCUAAGAUAUGAAAUGUGAAAUUUGGGUGGACCAGGGGUGGGGUUGGAGAAGGGACAGGGGUAAGCCAUUGUGUAGAGGGUCAUCAAAUUAUUUUUGGACUCAAGCUUUGGGUGUUUUUGACCCCAGC
This is a non-coding RNA of Pelobates cultripes (western spadefoot toad), 222 nucleotides long. NCBI's taxonomy places the organism in Eukaryota, Metazoa, Chordata, Amphibia, Anura, Pelobatidae. The record is from the annotation of a GenBank genome assembly.